CGCCUGUUUUACAAAAACAUGGUCUUAUGAAUUAUUUUUAUAUAAGAUCUGGCCUGCCCAAUGUUUUAAUGAAUGGCCGCGGUAUACUGACCGUGCGAAGGUAGCAUAAUAAUUAGGUUAUUAAUUGUAAUCUUGUAUGAAAGGUUGGACGUAGGAGUUGCUUUCUUAUUUAUAUUGUUGAAUUUAAGUAAUCAGUAAAAAUGCUGAUGUGUUUUAAGAAGACGAGAAGACCCUAUUGAGUUUUAUAUUUGAGCUUUUGUUUUGAUGGUUGAUGUUUAAUGGUGAUUAAUAUUUGGUUGGGGUGACUAUUUUAAAUAACCAUUAUUUGUUUUUUUGUUUAAUUUUUGAUCCAUUAUUAUUGAUUAAUAGAAUAAAUUACCAUAGGGAUAACAGCGUAAUUUAUCUGGAGAGUUCUUAUUGAUGGAUGAGUUUGUGACCUCGAUGUUGGAUUAGGAUUCCUUCCAGGUGCAGGUGCUGGAA
RNAcentral lists this ribosomal RNA (480 nucleotides) under Scolopendra multidens. Its description in RNAcentral is "partial large subunit ribosomal RNA". It matches the Rfam family "Bacterial large subunit ribosomal RNA", at positions 1797 to 2568 of the family's 2925-position model. Lineage: Eukaryota; Metazoa; Arthropoda; Chilopoda; Scolopendromorpha; Scolopendridae. The record is from RNAcentral.